RNAcentral lists this long non-coding RNA (289 nucleotides) under Physcomitrium patens. RNAcentral describes it as "long non-coding RNA (PPAT_LNC002584)". Lineage: Eukaryota; Viridiplantae; Streptophyta; Bryopsida; Funariales; Funariaceae. The record is from RNAcentral.
AUACAUCAUCAAUCUUUGACAACAAUUAAUAAACAAUGAUCCAUAAACAACUUCCUAAAUCAAACAUUAAUUCAUUAAAUCAAUUCUCUUCACUAGAAUCAACACUAACACAAAAGAAACAAGAAAACUAAGAAGAAGAAAUAGCACCAAGCUUAUCCUCGGCUCAGUACUAUCGCAGUCUAGCAUUUUCUUCCCCUCUCCCAUCCUCCUUAUACUACCUCAAGAUACCAACUCCUAUACUAUAGAUGAUAAUUAUUUUUUGUGACUAUUCAUCCAUUCUACCUGCUGA